CAGUAGCCACGGUAAUACGUAGGGUGCGAGCGUUAAUCGGAAUUAUUGGGCGUAAAGGGUGCGUAGGCGGCUUGACAAGUCUUGUGUGAAAUCUAUGGGCUCAACCCAUAGUCUGCACGGGAAACUGUCGGGCUUGAGAAUGGGAGAGGUGAGUGGAAUUUCCGGUGUAGCGGUGAAAUGCGUAGAUAUCGGAAGGAACACCUGUGGCGAAAGCGGCUCACUGGACCAUUUCUGACGCUGAUGCACGAAAGCUAGGGGAGCAAACAGGAUUAGAUACCCGAGUAGUCCCUGUCUCUUAUAA
RNAcentral lists this ribosomal RNA (301 nucleotides) under uncultured bacterium. RNAcentral's name for it is "partial 16S ribosomal RNA". It matches the Rfam family "Bacterial small subunit ribosomal RNA", at positions 509 to 809 of the family's 1533-position model. The record is from RNAcentral.